AUCUUCUGUUAAGAGAUUGCAUUGUGACAAAGAAUGUGUGUGUUUGUGCGGAUGUAGUUUGUGUUUGUUUGUUUUUCUCUAUCUCUUUCUCUGUGUAGAUACAAAUAUUUGGGUAGUAAACAAAAGAACCAUAGUGACAGCAACAAAUCUGAAAACAAAACUGUAAUUUUUCUGAGGUGAAGUAAUCCGGAGUCAUUUAUUUCACAGAAUCACGUUAAAUGCAUUUAUGGUGAAAUUCAUUAUGAGGGGUGGUGGUCAACUUAAAAAGAAGCCAUUCAAAGCUAUACUAUGUAAUUCAAGGUAAUUUUGGCCUUAUGACAUUGCAAAAAUCUCUUGUUCCUUGUCUAUUUUUUCAUUUAUGUAAUUUUUAUUUUCUCUAUUUAGUGGACUUCUCUGUAAGAACAUCAGGUUUUACCAGAAAUACCACUUUUACAAAGUUUACAGGGUCUUUCUCAAGGGCACCGCUAAUCUAACAUAUAUUCUUUGUCACAAUCUAGACUCUUCAUAGAAGAUGAAGACUUGCCAUGAUCAAGAAUACCAGCUAUUUGCUGAAGUUCAUCUUCCAAACGAACAGCAUGGAGUACAGUACUCAUCAGAUGCUGUGAACAGGUGUAGCCCAAAUGCAACAGAUUCAGACUUUGAUGCAGCAAUGGCAGAUCACCUGAAGCACACUGGGGUUGAUGGAUACUUGUUUUAUGGCUGUUUUAACAGUAAUACAAGACUGUUAGGAAAUAAUUUGGUAGUGCCAUAGCUCUGACUUUUAACCAUUAAUGGUGGAACACAUGAAUCACACUCCCGGAAGAGCCGGUGGUCGGGGACCAAGAAAAUGAGUAAACAUUUUGAAAAAAAUGGACUAAAGUAGUGUCAUAUGUUUUUGUAAUACUGUACUUUUGUCAUUUUCAUGUUUGAUUAAUGGCUGCUAAACAUCAAUGUUAAACUCCAUUGCUUUCGAGAUUCUACUAUUUUUAUUUUCUUGUUUGAAUAGUAGCUGUCAAACAAAUGGAAGACCAUUCAAAAAUGUGAUGUUCACUAUAAAAUAUGCUGUGCUAAAUUAAAACACUAAAUUUUGCCUAAAUCCACAAAUAAAGUGUUAUUGUUUGUGAUGUGCA
This is a long non-coding RNA of Triplophysa dalaica, 1109 nucleotides long. RefSeq lists it as uncharacterized. The transcript has 2 exons. The record is from RefSeq and is a predicted model, not a curated record. Lineage: Eukaryota; Metazoa; Chordata; Actinopteri; Cypriniformes; Nemacheilidae.